CUUGGUUCUCUUGUUUGCAUUCUCUUUCACCACUCACGUCUUUUUGCAAAGAAGAAAGCAUGGCUGCAGAGUUUGUGGGUGGAGCAGUUUUCUCUGCAUUCCUUCAGGUGGCGUUUGACAGAGUGGCCUCUCGUGACGUUGUCAACUUUCUCAAGGGAAGCAAAGUUAUUGAAGGAUUGGUGCGAAAGCUGAAGUUAAUGCUGAUAACUGCUGAUUCAGUGCUCAGUGAUGCGGAGGAGAAGCAAUUUGAAUACCCAAAUGUGAAACGGUGGCUGAACGAGCUUAAAGAUGCUGUUUAUGUUGCGGAUGACCUCCUCGAUGAGAUUGCCACUGAAGCCUUACGAUCCAAGUCAGAAGCUGAAUUUCAAACCAGCACUAGUACGGUAUGGGACUUCUUCUCUGCUAAUUCAUUUGAUAUACAAUCGAAGCUAGAAAAAAUUCUGGAUAAUUUAGAAUAUAUUAUAAAACAAAAGGAUGUCCUUAGUCUUGUUGCUAGUGUUGCCCUGAAGGAUACCCCUGGUCUUAAAGGUAUACAAUCAAGACCAUUGACAACUUCUUGCCCUGAAGAAUAUGGUGUAUUUGGUAGAGACAAGGACAAGGAGGGGAUAUUUGAGAAGUUCCAAUCUAAUGGUGCAAGUGUUGAUGGGAUAUGUGUUGUUCCCAUAGUGGCUAUGGGUGGAGUUGGAAAAACUACUCUUGCUCGGUUUGUUUUCAAUGACAAAAGAAUAAAUGAGAGUUUUGAUCUCAAAGCUUGGGUUUGCGUUUCAGAAAAUUUUGAUAAUUUUAGGAUAGCAAAAACAAUUUUUGAGGAGGUCACUUCCUCUGCUUGUGACAAUCAAAACAUGAAUUUUCUGCAAAAUAAAAUUAGAGAGAAAUUCAUGGAGAAGAAAGUUUUCCUCGUUUUAGACGAUGUUUGGAAUGAGAAAUAUAGUGAUUGGGCUGAGCUACUUAAAGUUUUCAGAUGUGGUGCAAAGGAGAUUAAGAUCAUUGUUACUACACGCAGUACAAAAGUCGCAUCAAAUGUCCGCACUGUUGCAGAUUUUUUUCUAAGACAAUUAUCAGAAAAAGAGUGCUGGUCAUUGUUUAAAAAACACACAUUUAUAAAUGGAAAGGCUAGUGAUCCAAUUCUAGAGGAUAUUGGUAGGCAAAUUGUCCAGAAGUGUAAAGGCUUACCUUUGGCAGCAAAAACACUUGGUGGUUUGCUGCGUUGUCAGCAAGAUCCAAAGGAGUGGACAAUGAUUUUGAAGAGUGAUAUAUGGAAUAUACCAGAAAAAGAAAGUGACAUCCUUCCGGCUCUAAGAUUGAGCUACCACUACCUCCCAUCACAUUUAAAGCAUUGCUUUGCUUAUUGUUCCAUCCUUCCAAAGGGUUAUGAAUUUAAAAAAGAGGAGUUGGUCUUGUUGUGGAUGGCACAAAAUUUUUUACAGCAAUCCAAAGGAAAUGGGAGGAUGGAAGAAAUAGGUGAACGGUACUUUGAUGAUCUUGUAUCUAGGUCACUUCUUCAACAAUCAAGUACUAAUGAAUCACGUUUCAUAAUGCAUGACCUAGUCAAUGACUUGGCAACAUUUAUAUCUGGAGAAUUUUGUUUUAGGUUUGUGGAAAAUGAUGAGUUGAAUAAAAUAACAGAAAAAACACGUCAUUUUUCAUAUCCUAAAGGUCGAUUUGAUAACUCUAAGAAAUUUGAGUUCCUUUAUGAAGCAAAGGGUUUGCGAACCUUCUUGGGAGAAAAACAGUUACUGUUACCAUGGGAAAAUUAUAACUCUGUAGAGAAGAUAAUGAUAGAUGAUUUGUUGGAGGAAUUUAAAACCUUACGGGUGUUAUCAUUGUCUAGCAUGGGAAUAAGAGAGUUGCCUAACUCCAUUGAUAAUUUAAAGCACCUUCGUUAUUUGAAUAUUCUUUGCACUAAAAUCAGUCACUUACCCGAUUCCAUAUGUAACUUGUAUUGUUUGCAAACCUUGAUAUUGUCACGGUACAUCACCAAGUUGCCUACAAACACGAGUAAACUAAUCAACUUGCGCCACCUAGAUAAUAGUGGAGCCAAAAUGGAAGAGAUGCCACCACAUAUGGGUAAAAUGAAAAAUCUCAUAAAAUUACCUGUUUUUGUUGUGGGCAAACGUGAUGAUGGGUCCAGUAUAAGAGAAUUAGUGGAGCUUCAGCAUCUUUCUGAAACUUUGUCUCUAUUGAACUUGGAAAGCGUUCAAUGUAUUAAUAAAGAUACUGCAGAGGUUAUAUUAAAGAAUAAGCAAGAUUUAUCUGAGUUGAAGUUGGAAUGGAAACACGGUCAUGGCGCUGAAGAUUCAGAAAAGGAAAGAAUUAUGCUCGAGCAGUUGUGUCCUUGCACAAACUUGAAUUCUCUCACCAUCACCAAUUAUGAGGGUACAAGCUUUCCAAAAUGGUUAGGAGACUCGUCAUUCUCUAAAAUGGUGUCCAUAGAGCUUCGUGAUUGUGAUAAUUGCUUCUCCUUGCCUCCGCUUGGACAGCUACCUUACCUCAAGAGCCUUGAAAUUGAAUGUUUUGGUGAAAUAUCAAGUGUGGGCCCUGAGUUCUACGGGAAUACGAUUAACCCGUUCAGAGCCCUUGAGUGUUUAUCAUUUGAAAAUAUGCUAGAGUGGCAGGAGUGGGUUAUAUUUGAAGGAGAAGUUUUCUCUUGUCUUCAAAAACUUUAUAUUGAUAAUUGUCCCAAGCUUAGUGGGGGUUUGCCCGUUCAACUUCCCUCUUUGACCGAACUUCGUAUUAGUCAGUGUAAGCAGCUUGUUGCUUCGCUUCCUAAUUCUCCAGCUCUCCAUCAAUUAGUAUGCACAGGGAAAAUACAGAUUCCACGUGGUCAUGACUAUCAAUCACUUAAAACUGUGUUCAUAGCGGGCGGCGGUGAUUCAAUUUUGUCAUUUCUACCAGAGUUUACUUCCCUCUCUCGCUUGGAAUUCUUUGAGUGCCUUGAUUUAGUUUCCUUUCCCAGCGGAGGACUGCGCGCUCCAAAUUUGUCUCAGAUUGUAAUAUUUGUGUGCAGAAAUUUAAAGUCACUGCCUGAAGGGAUGCAUACCCUCCUCCCAUCUCUCGUGGGUUUGAAACUGUAUGGGUGUCCAAAACUUGAAUCUUUUCCCGAGGGAGGUUUGCCCUCCAGCUUAGAAAGUCUUGCCAUACACGGGUGUGAGAAACUCAUUUCCCGUCGCAUGGAAUUGGGAUUGCAAGGUCUUCACUCUCUCAGAAGUUUCACAAUUUCUAAUCAUUGCAACGAGUUGGAGUCCUUUCCAGAGGAGGCGUUGCUGCCUCCUAAUCUUACUGAUUUCGCCAUCAGUUAUUUACCAAAUCUAAAAUUGCUCAAUGGUAAGGGGUUUCAACUCCUUACCUCUCUUAAAAACUUGCGUAUUCGGAGCUGCAAUAAUCUUGACUGCUUACUAGAAGACGUUUUGCCUACCACUCUUUGUGAGCUACAUAUUUCUGAUUGCCACUUGUUGAAAGAACGGUAUGGAAAUGAGAAAGGGGAGGGCCAGGUCAAGAUUGCCCACAUCCCCAGAAUAUGCAUACGUUGAUUGAGCUAUGAGUCGAAGAACGCUUCUGCCCAGUGUUACUUUUACCUGUAAAUAACAAGUGUCUUACACACCCGCUGUCAAUUUCAUGCCACUGCUAGCUGCUAAUCCUUCUACAUUGUGUAUGAAUUCCUAAAUGUCAAUUCUCCAAAAAAAAAAAAAAAAAAAAAAAAAGACCUCCAAAAUAUCUGAUUAGUCUUCAAGUCACUGUAAAAGCUCAUCCUCUACUCUCAUUCUUGCCGGUGAUGCUCUUGCCUCAUUAUACAUUCACUACAUUUCUACUCUAGACUUCUGAAAUACAAGACAAAGACUUCUAUGGGAAUGUUUAAGCUAAGGGUUGCUCUUGCCUCACUAUACUUUCACUGCGUUUCGACUGUUCCAUUUUGAAGUGCAAGACGAAUACUUUUGAGGUAAACUAUGUGGCAGUUGAUAGCUAGUGCUACUUCUUUACCUUUUUAACAGCCGCUGAAUCACACUGAUCAAGUGUGGAGAGGGACUUACUCAGGUUUUCUCUUUGGAAUUGGUGGUAGAUGGGAAUAUGUGACAUCCCCUCCAGAGGAUAGGUUGCUGCAUUUGGUUCUUUUUUUCUUCUAACCUGAAAGAACUCAAAAGGUUCAGCCAGAAUAUGACUGCUCUUGCUGUCCUCACCUGUUGGGGCUACCAUUACUAUCGAGAAUUUUAAAUGCCAUAUUGUGUGACAAUGGUGCCAAGGCAGAGGGGGGAAAGCUGGCCCAAAGAUUGCUGAGAUUCUUGUUCCAUGAUAGAUCAAGUCCAAAGAUGCCCUGUGAUUGUUAGGGCUGGCUGAAGAACGGUGUCAUAAUCUGUUUCUGCCUUGAGAUCAAGCACUUUUUAGGUGUUGUCUUUUGUUGAAGGAAUGGUUCCAUUAAGAAGAAGGGCAAAGAAUGGAGCAAGAAUGCCCAUUUUCUUCAACAUAUUAAUUGAUGAUGAAGUGAUCAUGUGGCCUGAAGGGAUGCACACCUCCUCUGUAAGAGAUGCUGUCAGAUGUUUUUCAACCAAAGGCUUUGGAUCCCAAGAUUAUGCUACAGUUGACAUAUAGUUUUUGAACUAUGUGAUUUUCAACAUGCUCAUUCAUUGCCUUUUGUUUUGUGUGGUCAAUUUUACUUGUAAAUAAGUGCCUCACACACCCGCUGCCAAUUUAUGCCACUACUAGCUGCCAGUCCCUUGCAUUGUACAUAAAUUCCUAAAUCUCUGAUAUAUUUUCAAGUCACUAUGAAAGCUCAUCCUUUUUUUUAAUUUGAGAAUCAUUUACUCUCAUUCUUGCCAGAGCUGCUCUUACCUCAUUAUACUUUCACUGCAUUUCUACUUUGCACUUUUGAAGUGCAAGACAAAUAUUUUUGAGGGAAUGAUUAACCCAAGGUAAACUAUGUGAUGGUUGAUAGCUAGUGCUACUUCUUUACCUUCUAACAGCAGCUGAAACGCACUAAUCAAGUGUGGAGAGGGACUUGCUCAGGCUUUCUCUUUGAAAUUUUGGAACCGGUGGUAGAUGGGAAGAUGUGAAGUUCCCUCCGGGGGAUAGGUUGCUGCUUUUGGUUCCUUUUCUCUUCCUAACUUGAAAGAGCUCAAAAGGUUCAACAUGUGACUGCUCUUGCUUUCCUCACUUGUUGGGGCUAUGACUAGCACCAAGAAUUUUAAAAUGUCCUAUUGUGUGACAAUGGUGCCAGAGGCAGAGGGGGGAAAGCU
Quercus lobata is the source of this 5228-nucleotide RNA transcript. It is a transcript of the gene named putative disease resistance RPP13-like protein 1, with no coding region annotated. The record is from RefSeq and is a predicted model, not a curated record. The transcript is spliced from 6 exons. Lineage: Eukaryota; Viridiplantae; Streptophyta; Magnoliopsida; Fagales; Fagaceae.